UUGAAUUACAUGUCGGAUGUGUCUGCUAUGUACUCAGUGGAGGUAUGAUAGUACAGCUAAUUGUUCUUCUGCUGGCUGGACGAUGCUUGUUUUCUGUAGGUAUGUUUCUUUUUCGAGAAACAGCUUCAACAGAAGUUUUUAUUUGAGUUAUCAUAGAAGAGAAACAUUCGUAAUAGGGGUGUCCCCUGUGCAUGAGUGCAUGGUUGGUGAUAUCACAAUGGGCAAUCAAGGAUAGCUAAGACAACCUAGAGGGACAGGGGGUUAUUAGCAUAUGAACUGUGGUCGUCAAGCUAAUAUACCUAAGAGUAUCAAUCCUUUGUAUGUUUGGAGUUUUGUUGUAUAACAGAAUCGAUGUGUCAUGUCUGUAUGCUGAAGCAUGCUGUCUCUCACAUGGAUUUCAAUUAUGAACCGUAUGCUCAUGGUUAUGUAUGCUUUCUGUUUCAUAUAUGUGCCAAUGAUGUAGUGUAUAAUAAAUCCAAUCUAACAAGUAUAGUAUCUGGGUGUGGUUUUACCUUCUAUGACCCGCUUGUAGUUUGGGAGGGCUAUCAAGGGUCGGGGCAUUUAUUAUAUGAACAGUUCUAUCGUUUUUACUUUUUGGUACUGCAUAGAGUUGGACCUCCAUUUGUAGAACAACUUCUCAGUUCUCCAGAUCCUUGUCAUGCUCAAUUAUGUCCAUCCUGAUCCUUGUUCUGUGUUGCUUUGAACAGGGACGCCAUGUGAAGAAAAAGGGAUACCCGGAAGGUCUUUAGAUCACAGUACAGUGUGCACAAACUUUGUUUUCAGUCAGUCACAAGUUUAUUGGGUACUGGAUAAGGAUGUUAUGUAUAUGUGUAACUGGAUCAGUUGCUGCUCUGCCCUGUUUGUAAGAAUCCUUGUAUGUUUAUGCUUGAAAAAGCUGUCUAUGUCCAGAGUCCGAUCUAUCUGUGUUGCG
This 931-nucleotide long non-coding RNA is filed under the name Triticum aestivum (bread wheat). RNAcentral's name for it is "long non-coding RNA (TAES_LNC011459)". Lineage: Eukaryota; Viridiplantae; Streptophyta; Magnoliopsida; Poales; Poaceae. The record is from RNAcentral.